ACGUAGGGCGCAAGCGUUGUCCGGAAUUAUUGGGCGUAAAGAGCUCGUAGGCGGCUUGUCACGUCGAUUGUGAAAGCCCGAGGCUUAACCUCGGGUCUGCAGUCGAUACGGGCUAGCUAGAGUGUGGUAGGGGAGAUCGGAAUUCCUGGUGUAGCGGUGAAAUGCGCAGAUAUCAGGAGGAACACCGGUGGCGAAGGCGGAUCUCUGGGCCAUUACUGACGCUCAUGUGCGAAAGCGUGGGGAGCAAACAGGA
This 253-nucleotide ribosomal RNA is filed under the name uncultured prokaryote. RNAcentral describes it as "partial 16S ribosomal RNA". It matches the Rfam family "Bacterial small subunit ribosomal RNA", at positions 525 to 777 of the family's 1533-position model. The record is from RNAcentral.